AAGAUAUUAGUAAAAUCAUUACAUAACUUUGUCAAAGUUAAAUUAUAAGCUAGAGCUUAUAUAUCUUG
This 68-nucleotide transfer RNA is filed under the name Desmodillus auricularis (Cape short-eared gerbil). RNAcentral describes it as "tRNA-Asp". The record is from RNAcentral. Lineage: Eukaryota; Metazoa; Chordata; Mammalia; Rodentia; Muridae.